Molecule: long non-coding RNA, 196 nt
Organism: Macadamia integrifolia
Lineage: Eukaryota; Viridiplantae; Streptophyta; Magnoliopsida; Proteales; Proteaceae
Exons: 2
Source: RefSeq, a predicted model, not a curated record
AUCGUAAUAAGCUGUUGGGGAAACUCUACAUAUGCUGAAAAUCCCUUAUCCGCUGCAUUCUGAUAUCCGAAAAUCUUGAGAAAUAUAAGACACGAACUUCUCUCCUCAAUUGGUGGAGGAAGAUGCAUCCAUUUUUCUACUUGAAGAUUAAGUAGGUGAAUUGGCAGCUAGCAGGAUGGCUUAUGAGAUAAGUGAG